GCAUUAUCAAGAUCUGGCUGCAACAUCUGUCACCCCGUCGACCGCCAGGUUGAUUCGGCUGAUCUGGCUGGCUAGGCGGGUGUCCCCUUCCUCCCUCACCGCUCCAUGUGCAUCCCUCCCGAAGCUGCAAAGAAGACGACCAUCCCCGCUAGAGAAGGACCUGUCUUCGGUCAAGGAUAUACGAGUAGCUGUGCUCCCCUGCUAGACCCUCCAAACAAGCUCUCAAGAAACACAUUGUUACAGAGAAAUCAUUCUAUUGAUAUAAAAGAACAGUAAUAUUUUGCUGAAAAACUCAGUAGAAAAUAUU
Molecule: unclassified non-coding RNA, 307 nt
Organism: Ochotona princeps (American pika)
Lineage: Eukaryota; Metazoa; Chordata; Mammalia; Lagomorpha; Ochotonidae
Gene: 7SK
Rfam family: 7SK RNA
About the family: 7SK was discovered as an abundant small nuclear RNA in the mid-70s but a possible function has only recently been suggested. Two independent studies have found that 7SK RNA binds the CDK9/cyclin T complex (known as elongation factor P-TEFb).
Source: Ensembl